Molecule: long non-coding RNA, 2361 nt
Filed under: Homo sapiens (human)
Lineage: Eukaryota; Metazoa; Chordata; Mammalia; Primates; Hominidae
Description: HSALNT0331641
Source: RNAcentral
CAGGGGGCGGUGUGCGCCCCCGGCGCUGGAGCAGCCGCGUUUCGGGGACCCGGGCAGGCGUGGGGGGCUGCGCUGAGCUCCAGGCCUCCUGCAGGUGCAAUAAGAAUCGUAUUACUAAUGUGGUGUCCUCUGGAAUGGUCACAUGAACACAGUUCCCUGCAGAUGUAAUUGGGAGAGAAGGCACAGUCCUGACACAGGGUAAGACUGUGGAGGUGUAUUGCUGUCCCUACCAGCCUGGAGUGCAGUAGUGUAAUCUCGGCUCACUGCAGCCUCAAACUUCUGGGCUCGAGCGAUCCUCUCACCUCAGCCUCCUGAGUAGCUGGGACUACAGCUGUGCCUUAACUUCCUCGAAAGACAACAUCAGUGCUGGCGGGCCUCAAGAAGAGCCAUCCCAAGGUAUUGACUAGGCAUCAGCGUCUUCACCAGGGCAACACAGAACAUCCCUGCAGAGUUCCUGGUGGCUGCAGUGGCUGGUAGGGGAUGUAUGCCUGCUUUCCAUCAGAUUCCCAAAGCGGAGCCCCUGGAGGCUUUGGCCCAUGGCCCUGAAGCUCCCUUUCACAAGGAAGAAAGACUUUGCAAAGCCAACACCACUAUUGGAGAGAAAGUGGAGAAUGUGUAUUAGAAGUACUAGUCUUUGAAGGCAAAACAGCUGUAUAGAGUGAGCUUAAGUGCUGGAUCCCUGUGGUUAGGAAGGGACACUAAGCCUCCGGGAUGUGAGAGUCCCAUGGAAGGCAGUAGGCCCAGGAUAAAGCAGGUGUCAGCUCAGAAAGCCCACCAUCACCCAGAAAAGGGAAGAAAUACGCUACCACCAUCACUCUUUCUGCCAAUGACUUCUUUGCACACCUCCACCCUAUCUCCUGGCUCAGUCUCCCAUGUUCUCAUAGCUAGGGAGGUCUCCAUUGUAAUUUGUAUGGGGAGGUUAACCUAUAGGCCAUUCUGAUGAUCCCAGCUCCCUUUCACUACAACCCCCGUCUGCAUCCUUUGCUUUGCAGUAGGAUUUGAGAGAGGAAGGAUGAAGAUGUAGCCACAGGAUACAUUUAAACAGGCACAGAGUUUGAGGGGUGGGGGGGAACAAAAGCAAAACAAUAAAACCUUCACCAGUCAUUAAAGAAAUGAAAAUGAACCUUUUGAGAUUGUCAAUUUUUAUCUGCUAAGUCAAGAAAAGCUAAUUUAAUUCCUGGCAAUUUCACAAUAAAAAAAAUUGUGCUAGCUCUUGGUGGCAUUGUAAGUAGUUAAAGGCUUUUUGGGAAGUAAUUUGAAAUACAUCAAGUCUUGAAAAUGAUUAUACCAGUGGAUCCAAUCAUCUCGCUGGUGGAAAUUCAUCUGAAGGAAAUGAUUCAGUGGAAAAAACAACCCGUCUACACUUGUUGCACCUAAAUGUCCAGGAAUAAGGGAAUGACAGAAGAAAUCUCAGCACAUUCUCUGAAUGGAACAGAAACCGAGCGUUUGGAACUAGAAUUGCGCAGACUGAAUUGAAUAUGGAAGUGGCUUUAAAUGGCAUGUUAGGUGGAAACACUGGAUGUCUGGUUGAAAUUUGGUAAGACACACAUUCCCAUGGUCAGAAUCGGAAAAUUUCAACAAAUGAAAAUCAUGGGGUUCACAAAGAGGUGUUGUGGGUUAUAGAAAGCUAUUUUCAAAAAUUUCUUUAAUGAUUCAAAAUUGUUUUUCAAAAAAAGUAGAAGAUUUAGAAACAUGUAUUUUAGGAAGUAUGGCCCAUGGUGUCUAUUGGAAAAAAAGUGGAAGACCUGAUGCAUUGCCCAAGGGGAACUUCUAGCUUAAGAUUACACUGAUGAGGACUGGGAAACACUCAGGCACUUUCAGGCACGCUGAGUAACAGGGGUGUCCUUUUACACAGAGACAAGGUGCUCUGUGGUCCACCCUUUACUUGGAUCCCCAGAUCAGCAUUCUCAUCAGGCAGAAGUAACCAGAGGAGGAAACAGCAUUUCUUCAAAGCUGAAGAGAGCUUUUUGGAGGGGAAAAUAAAAAAUCCUAGGAACUCCUUGCAUGACUGAUGGUUUGAACAAUGGCUUUGCACCCCAAGACCAGCCUGGCCUCGUGGUUGUAAAUCUGGGGGCCGUUGACAAACGGUUUCCCACCUUGGGACUUGAGUCUGCAGUUCAAGAGUCACGUGGGCCUGCCUGAGCCGCAGGGCUUGGCCCCUGUGCUGAGCACAGGCUUCUAGAAGAAGGCUUACGGGAAAGGAAAUGCUCGGGUUUCACAUGAAGGAGGGUGUGUGUGGAGGGGGCAGGGCGGGAGCAGGAGGGAAAGAAUGGUCCCUUUCAACGCAGACAGAUGCAGUCUGGCUCAGAGUCAGCCCGGUCUCAAAAAAAACCCAAGUGGUCCAGUAACAUUUAAAAAUCU